RNAcentral lists this long non-coding RNA (1488 nucleotides) under Homo sapiens (human). RNAcentral's name for it is "HSALNT0084552". The record is from RNAcentral. Lineage: Eukaryota; Metazoa; Chordata; Mammalia; Primates; Hominidae.
ACAGAAGAACAGAUGUGAAGGCCCUGGGUGGGAACGGCUUCGCUGGUGUGAGAACAGGCUCCUGGGACUGAAUAGGCGUGAGCAGGGGGCCAGGAAGACAGGAAAGCUCUGGGUGUCCAGGACAGUUUGGGGAGGAGUAGCCACAGCAAAGCUGCUUGGGAGGUCACUCCCCUGGACAGAGGAGAGAUGGCCCAGGCUUGAAGGGUGCUGGUGGUGGGAAGCGUGCAGAUCUGGUAUCCACACUGGAGGGUUUGCUGGUGGCAUGGCUAUUGGUGUGGGAAAGAGGAAUCAAGCCUUACCGCAGUGCUUCUGGUGUGAACCACAGGGGCCUGAGGUCCCCUUCACUGAGCCAGGAACAAUGGGAGGGAGGGAAGCAGCUUUAGGGAGUGGAACUAGGACUGCCUCAUGGGGACGUAUAUGGUUACCGAAGAGGGACAGAGAAGGAAGCAGGAUCUGCAAACUGGGAUCUCAGGGCUGGAGGCAGAAUUUUGGACGUCAGCAUAUAGAUAUUAUUUAAAGCAAAGAGAAUGGAUGCAAACCUGUAAGCGAAUGCAAAUAAAGAAAAGCAGAAGGCAGAGGCUGAGUCAGCCUGAGGACAUUCCAAUAUUGAGAGGGGUGCAAAGAGUAGGGGAAGCUUCAAAGGAGACCAAGAAGGAACCCAGUGAACUACAGGAAGCAUCAGGAGGGUGUGACUGUGGCAUCAGGCAAGACCAAAGGAGCAAUGCGUGAGGAGGAGAAGGAGACCAACCGAAUACCGAGGAGGACCAAGAGCUGCCUGGUGGUCUGGGAGGAAGGAAGUCCUCGUGACGGGGACAAAAGUGCUUUCUUUGGUCAGUGCUUCAUUCUCGAACUCUUCUGUUAAGCAUUGUUGGGCACACCAAGGUACCCCAAGGGACUCACUCAGGAGACCUAACAAACCAUGUUGCCCAAGAAAGGCACUCCUUGCAGACCGCUUGUGCAGAAAGGAGCUGGUGGGGAUUUCAUGAUGAGGUAACAGCCUUGCUCUCGUUGACUGCUUCGGUUUCCAUGUUGUGUUUGUGACUUUCUGUUUCUAUUUCUGAACUAAGCCUGUAUUUGUUACUGAUGUGCAUACUACCAUUUGGUUUUCGCAUUGGUGGCAGGAAUGUUGAGUGGUGGUCUUAUGGUCUAAAGACCUGCAUUCUCUAAGGCAGCAGACAACAGGGAAGUCACUUGAGUUCCUUCCUACACUUACUAUAGAUCUCUUCUGAUCACUGAUGGAGUCCUAUGUGUAGAUGGUCUUUGUUGUGCACCAUUAUAAACUUAAAUGUCUCAAACUGAUUAGAGAAAAUAUAUUUUUCCAGAAGGUCAGCUGGACUGGAGAGCAACCCCGGAUGAGAAACAUCACAACUCCUUUGUCUUCGAGGGUCUCAUUCUGUCAUCCAGGGUGUAGUGCACUGGUGCAAUUUCAGCUGACUGCAACCUCUGCCUCCUGGGUUCAAGCAAUUCUCAUUCCUCAGCCUCCUGAGU